RNAcentral lists this ribosomal RNA (379 nucleotides) under uncultured cyanobacterium. RNAcentral's name for it is "bacterial SSU rRNA". It matches the Rfam family "Bacterial small subunit ribosomal RNA", at positions 376 to 770 of the family's 1533-position model. The record is from RNAcentral. Lineage: Bacteria; Bacillati; Cyanobacteriota.
CGAAAGCCUGACGGAGCAACGCCGCGUGUGGGAAGAAGGCCUUUGGGCUGUCAACCACUUUUCUCAGGGAAGAAGCUUUGACGGUACCUGAGGAAUCAGCCUCGGCUAACUCCGUGCCAGCAGCCGCGGUAAUACGGAGGAGGCAAGCGUUAUCCGGAAUCAUUGGGCGUAAAGCGUUCGUAGGCGGCUGUUCAAGUCUGCUGUCAAAGACCGAGGCUCAACCUCGGGUCGGCAGUGGAAACUGGAUAGCUAGAGGUCGGUAGGGGCAAAGGGAAUUCCCAGUGUAGCGGUGAAAUGCGUAGGUAUUGGGAAGAACACCGGUGGCGAAAGCGCUUUGCUGGACCGAACCUGACGCUGAGGGACGAAAGCUAAGGUAGCG